GACGAACGCUGGCGGCGUGCUUAACACAUGCAAGUCGAACGGAAAGGCCCUGCUUGCGGGGUACUCGAGUGUCGAACGGGUGAGUAACACGUGGGUGAUCUGCCCUGCACUUCUGGGUAAGCCUUGGGAACUGGGUCUAAUACCGGAUAUGAGCCCUCUUUAUGGUGAUGGUUGGAAAGUUUUUUCGGUGGAGGAUGAGCUCGCGGCCUAUCAGCUUGUUGGUGGGGUAAUGGCCUACCAAGGCGGCGACGGGUAGCCGGCCUGAGAGGGUGGCCGGCCACAUUGGGACUGAGAUACGGCCCAGACUCCUACGGGAGGCAGCAGUGGGGAAUAUUGCACAAUGGGCGGAAGCCUGAUGCAGCGACGCCGCGUGGGGGAUGACGGCCUUCGGGUUGUAAACUCCUUUCGCUAGGGACGAAGCUUUUGUGACGGUACCUAGAGAAGAAGCACCGGCUAACUACGUG
RNAcentral lists this ribosomal RNA (464 nucleotides) under uncultured bacterium. Its description in RNAcentral is "partial 16S ribosomal RNA". It matches the Rfam family "Bacterial small subunit ribosomal RNA", at positions 28 to 507 of the family's 1533-position model. The record is from RNAcentral.